UGGAAGUAGGUAUUGGAUAAGAUAGUGGCUUGUGAACCAGUAUCUAUUAACCCUUUAAAAGGCUGGGGUAGCGAAUCCUGUAUUUCUACAGACAUGUAGUACCUUCCUUCAUGUUCUUCUAAUUCACAUAAGAAUUUAGAAUGUGUCAACAUAUUACUUGUUUUCCAUACGUUACCGGUCACAGCAGUAGUUUCUACCUGUACUGAGGAAUGCUCAGUCUUACCCACAGGCCCAUCCUUAUUAGGAAUAUCUUGAACUGUCAAGCGGGAACUAGUGGUCGGCAU
RNAcentral lists this long non-coding RNA (284 nucleotides) under Pelobates cultripes (western spadefoot toad). The record is from RNAcentral. Lineage: Eukaryota; Metazoa; Chordata; Amphibia; Anura; Pelobatidae.